GACGAACGCUGGCGGCGUGCUUAACACAUGCAAGUCGAACGGAAAGGCCCUGCUUUUUUGGGGUGCUCGAGUGGCGAACGGGUGAGUAACACGUGAGUAACCUGCCCUUGACUUUGGGAUAACUUCAGGAAACUGGGGCUAAUACCGGAUAGGAGCUCCUGCUGCAUGGUGGGGGUUGGAAAGUUUCGGCGGUUGGGGAUGGACUCGCGGCGUAUCAGCUUGUUGGUGGGGUAGUGGCUUACCAAGGCUUUGACGGGUAGCCGGCCUGAGAGGGUGACCGGCCACAUUGGGACUGAGAUACGGCCCAGACUCAUACGGGAGGCAGCAGUGGGGAAUAUUGCACAAUGGGCGGAAGCCUGAUGCAGCAACGCCGCGUGCGGGAUGACAGCCUUCGGGUUGUAAACCGAUUUCGCCUGUGACGAAGCGUGAGUGACGGUAAUGGGUAAAGAAGCACCGGCUAACUACGUG
This 468-nucleotide ribosomal RNA is filed under the name uncultured bacterium. RNAcentral describes it as "partial 16S ribosomal RNA". It matches the Rfam family "Bacterial small subunit ribosomal RNA", at positions 28 to 507 of the family's 1533-position model. The record is from RNAcentral.